Molecule: long non-coding RNA, 2782 nt
Filed under: Canis lupus familiaris (dog)
Lineage: Eukaryota; Metazoa; Chordata; Mammalia; Carnivora; Canidae
Description: lncRNA (ENSCAFG00000053247.1, ENSCAFG00805026276.1, ENSCAFG00845018032.1)
Source: RNAcentral
UUUUUGUUUUAUUAUUUGCCAUUAAUGGAAGGAGAAAUAAAAUAGAUAUAAGUAUUUGUUAAUUUCAUGCAACCCAUUUCAAAUUACACAGAAUGUCAUGGAAUGUAAGCUUAAUUACACAAGCAACCUUUGUAUUAAAAACAUCACUUUAUUACCCUCUAUAAACAUUUUAUGAAUCCGUUUAGUUUACAGUUAAAUUAAGAGGAAAUGAAAGGCAAGGAUAAACUACAAAGGAUUCCUUCUUCAUCUUUUAAACUGACUUCAUUAGAACCAUAAUUUAGUUCUAGGUAUAUCUGAGCAACCCGAGCGUAGAGAUAGGACAAAUCUACACUUGUAUUAUUCAGUCAAAUGUUGAAAAAAGUAGUGUUUGGCUUUUGAUGAAUAUUUAAUAUGCCAGAGAGCUCUCAAGAUUCCACUUUAGCAGUGAGAUCUGGAGCAGUUUUCAGCAGAGACUGAAUUGCUGAUCUGGCCCCCUGAGCUCCCUUUCCACUUUUUCUUCCUCUGAUAUUCCUUAAGUUGUAGAGAAGUAGAAAAAUACAACACCCUGUUGCCCAAACGGUCUCCUAUGUGUAUUGUAUAAAUGAAGACCAUUAGGAAAAGUACCCUGGGACUGAGAAACUCCCCGCUCUGGAGAAGUAGCCUGUUGUUGGCUUGAGGCCACAGGAGUAUGACUACCCAGCAAAGAUUUUUGACUCCCUGGUAAUGGCCUUAAGCCUUGAGAGCUUAACAGAAAUCCAACAUUUUUCAUACUGCAACAUGAAAUUUGGACCCAAUUUGAGCAAUCUGGACCCAUCUUUGCCUCUUAAUCAGCAUGAGUCAAUGUGGGACAAGAACACAGGGCUUUCACAGAGGACUGGUCUUAGUUUUUUCUGCAAUUCAGAGGACUGAGAAAAGCACUGGUUGGGAUGGUCUGGUGUGAUCAGCUGGAGAUUCUCUGGUUAAAGUGGAAAAUGGUGAACUUCUGGGCAAAAAAUCAGGAAAGAAUUCUAGAACCUCUGUCAAAAAUUGUUAAAAUAAUUAAAUCAUAUAUUUUAUUAUUUUUCAAUUACUUUAUUAGGGUAGGUGCACAGGUUUUUUGUUUGUUUUGUUUUGUUUUUCUGCUUAGCUUUGGUUUCCUAACAAUUCCAAAUUUCAGUUUCCUCUUUUGCAACGUUGACAUAUUUAUUAAGAGGUUAUUGUUAGGAGUAAAGUAAUCAACAUUUGUGAAAACAUUAUAUAGGUUUUAUAGAGUAAAACUGUAAAAUCUUAUAUUAAGGUUAGAUAUUACCCAAGUUCAGUGGCCAAUCUGUUGGCCAGAUAAGAAUCACUUGGAUGUUUGUUAAACCUUAUGUGUCAUACCUGUUUCCUCUCUUCCUUCCCCGUUAUGAUCCAUCCCUCUAGUGUCCUUCUCUUCUCUCUCAUUGAGUAAUCAUUACUUUAGUGAUCCACUGUUAUACUGUGUCUUGUAAGUUCUUCAGAGUAAUAAAAAGGGUGAAAGUAGCUGCCUUUAGCAGGAAGUGCUAGAAAGCCAUAUUUGUAUCCCUAGUGCUUAGAACAGUUAUCUGGCUAAAUAUAUAUUUAUUGAAUGGACAGUUUAAAUGAUAACACAGAGAUUACUACCAGAAAGGUGAACAUAUUUCUACUACGGUUGUACAUCUUUUAAAAACUUUAAAUAUACCUUAACUAUAGCUCUGAAAGAAAAAAACAGAAUAGGAUAAAUUCUUCAACAUGAUCAAAAUACAAGCCAUUCAUAUCAAAAUUCAACAAGUUCCUAGUGGUAAAAUGCAAGAAUUCCUCUUUUAAAAAAAUCCAUGGAUAUCAGUCAUCAAGUUCUUCUAUAAUAUACCAUAAUUUUGAAUGUGCUGGCCAAAGCAGUAAGUCAAGAAAGUAAAAUAUAGUCAUAAAUAUUAGAAAGAAGGAGACAAACAUUGUAAAGGUUUUAGAAAGAAUAAGAGAGCUUACUAAGCUUAGUAAUUUAUAAAAUGAUGCAAAAAUCACUAGUCUUCCCAUAUACCAAAUACCACACAAAUAUUAUUGCAGCAUAUAAUGGAAAAAUAUCACAUUCACAAAGGCAAAUGAAACAUAGAUAGAUUACCUGAGGAUAAACUUGGAAAGAAAUGUGCUGGAUUUCUAUUAAGAAGACUGUAAUGCUCUUCAGAGGAAUGUAAAGGAAGAUGAUUAAAUGAAGAACCAGAUUUUAUUCUUACAUCAGAAAUCUCGACAAAUAUGUCUAUUAACUCUAAAUUAAUCUUGAAAUACAGUAUACCUGUAAUUAAAUUUCCAGUACUUUAUUUUGUGGGUGUUGGGUGUGUUGAACAUUGCUUUAAAAAACAUUUAGAAUCAUCAUACAUGACUAAUCUACAUAGUUCAGGAUAUAGAAGGUAACUCUUUUCUGCUUGAGCAAUAAUAUGUAUGCUAAAGCUACAGCAACUAAAACAAUGCUGUGGUGAUGCAGGAGGAAGCAUCCAAGUAAACAGAACAGAGUACAAGUAUGGACACAAAUUUUUAUAUAAAAUUAAAUUCAUGAAUAUGCAAAUUAAAAUAUAAAUAUGGUAGCAUUUCAAGUAACAGGGAAAGGAUACAUUAUUAAAUAAGCAGAUUGAAGCAACUGGUGAUCCAUUUUAGAAAAAGAAAAAAGCUAGAAUCCCGUUUCAUAUUUCAUUGUCUGCCAAAAAAUAAAUUUCUAAUAGAUCAUAUAUCUAAAUUUUAAGAAGAGAUUAUAAAAAUGUAUAAGUGAUUAUUUCCACAAACCUAAGAUAGUUUCUAAAUAUGACACAAAACUAAAGAUCAGAGGAUAAGAGAC